CCGGUUUUUCAACGAUUUUUUCAAUGUUAAUCGCAAAAAAAAACCCGAAAUAAUCGUGAUUCAUCGCACGACAAAAAAGAGACGAAAAAUAAAAGCUGUGAAACCCUAAAACGUCUGCAAAAUUCGAUAAAUAGUCGUUUUUGUCCAGGUUACACUCAGCUCGUGGGCAAGGGUUAGGAGAACGAAGUUGAACUUGAAGGGAAGCAAAGAGAAGGCGUUUUUUAGUCGCGCGACAAAGGGUGAAUCUUCUCGACUUCAUUUUGUAAGUGUUUUUGAGCACAUAAAUUCCAAGAAACGCAACCGCCUAUCACAACAACCAAUGAAUGACUUGGUAUUCGUUCACCACAACCUCCGCUUGAAGAUAAAGAAAGCUCAAGGAACUAUUGAGGAAGACUCGCCAAUUGACCUUGAUGAGAUAGAUCCAGAGUGUGAGUUGAUUGUUGUUGAUGAUGAUGAUGAUCAUGAUACUCCACUUGAGUCUGAAGAUUUUGAUAUCAUGAGGGAAGCCAAUUGGGAUCCUGAAAGGUUCAAUCGAUCUAAGAGAGGCUUUCACCCGGGAGCUUCAUCAUCAGAGCCUGUUGCCCUAGAGCAUGUCAUUUUCUAUAGUUGAUUUUUUAGAAUUUAGUACUUAGUUUACAGGUUGGCUUUGUACAAAGUCACAAACUAUAUUGUAAUCGACAUUUUGACAUCUAUCACCAUCUAGAUAUCAUUAAUGUUGUGGUACGUUUUUGUGCAAUGUAAUU
Molecule: long non-coding RNA, 743 nt
Organism: Cryptomeria japonica (Japanese cedar)
Lineage: Eukaryota; Viridiplantae; Streptophyta; Pinopsida; Cupressales; Cupressaceae
Exons: 3
Source: RefSeq, a predicted model, not a curated record